CCUAUUUAUUUUAUAAUUUACAAUUGUACGUAGUAAUUUAGAAGGAAUAUAAAAAAGAAGAAAUUGAUAAUUAAUAAAAUAAGUGAAAAUUUUUAAUAAAAUAAAUAAAUAUAAUUUUUUUACUAAUAAAUAUAAUUAUUUGCGUGAACAAAACUAAAAAAAAUAUGAAACAAUAAUAUAAUAACUAAAAGAAUAUAAAACAAUAUGAAAGAAGUAAUAAUUGAUGCGUUUAAAACAAAAAUCUUAGAAUGGACACCAGAAACUCAAUAUGCUUCACUAAUACAUAUCAUUAUUAUUAAUGAGAUAUUUGGUCUACGUAUAUUUGAAUCUAAAGGACGAUUGCGAUAUGACUGGAGUAUAAUAUACGCUAGCAUAUGUAUCAUUUUAUAUGCUACAUAUACAAAUGAAAUAAUAAACAUAAAUUAUAAAAAUUGGCCUGCAUAUCAAGAGAUCAGUUAUAAACUGACUAUAUAUAUUAAUAUUAUAGGCAUCAUAAUUUUUAUAAUUCUUGGAAUGCUGAAUACAGAACGUUCAAGAAAAAUUAUUGCAAAAUGUGAACAAAUAGACAAUAUUUUAAAAUCAUUCGGAGUUGAGAAAAAUUAUAAAAAAACUUUUUUCCAAGUAAUACAAAUAUUAAUUAUAUCUAGCACAAUAAUGAUAAGUAUGAUUUUACUAAAUUGGUUUUAUAUUAUUUCCAAAGAAGAAAGACAAAAAUUCGAUUUAAGUAUUCUCAUAUAUAUAAUAAUAGCAACUAUGUAUUUGGGGAUUUUUACUUUUAUAAUAUUUGUAAGGUAAAUUAUAUAUAAGAGAAAAGUGUUAAUGAAAUUAAAAAUAAUUGAAUAGAAAAAUAUAUAUUUCUGAAUUUAAGAUUAUAUUUUUUUUUCAAAAGUAUGUAAUGAUAUAUUCUAAAUUUCUCAUAACUUAUGGUAAUAUAAUUAUUAAUUGUCAGAUUAUAUAAUUGAUAAAUUUAAGAAAUAUUUAUUUUUCAUGAACAACUUCAUAUUAGUAUUUUAUAUUAAUAUAAAUUUAUGUGUAUUUUUUCCCAAAUAUUCUUAUAUAUAGAAUAUAAGAAUAAUAGAAUAUAAAAAGUAUGUGUAAAGAAUAUGAUGAUUAUAACGUGAUUUUAUAUCUUUGAAUCAAUGAGAAUUUGAUAAAUAAAAAUGCACGCAAAAAUUUUGAUAAAAUCAUUUUCAUAUACUUUUUAUUGAUCUUUAUGAAAUUAUAAAAUUAUGUUAUAAUGUAUUUUAUAUUUAUUAUUUAUAUAUUUCAUAAAGUACUAUGAGUAAUUAUGAAAUUACUUAUAUUAUUACAAUUUUUAUAAAAAUGAUAGAAAACUUAUUUAUCUAUUUCUGUAUUUCGGUACAAAAAAAAAUGAAGAAAAGAAAUAUGGAAAUAAGGAAAUAAUAUUUUUUUCUUUUAAAUGAAAAAGAAAUAUUCUUUGCCUUUUCUAUGCCUUUUAGAUUGUAAUAAGGUCAAUAUGUAAUUUUAAUUUUUACAUUUAACAUUCAUUAAUUUUUUUUCUAUUUUUCAUCAUUUAUGAUCAAAUAACCACAAAUAUUAAUAAUUAAAUUAUUUAAAUUAUUUAAAUUUUAAAUCUCCAUUCAAUAUCAUAUGUAUAUACAUAAUUAAUAUAACAUAAAAUUUUAAUAUGAAUAUUUUUUAUGAUGAAUAUUUUUAAAUGAAGUACUCUUCGAAUUAAUGAAACUAACAGUGGUUUUAUAUUAUUUAUAGACUAUAUUAUAUAAUGAUAAUAAUUAUAUAAAAAAAAUUUUUAUGAUAAAAGAGAUAACAAAAUCUACUAAAUCGAACCGAAAUCGUAACUAUAGUAAAAUUUUAUUGUAUUAUCUUUUAUCGUGUUGCUAAUGUAAAGAAUUUAUUAAUCGUCAAAAAAAAAAAUAAUCUAAUUGAAAAUGAAUCAAUAUGUAUCAAUAAUUGAAUCCAAAUUAUUUAAUUAUAGAUUUUUCUAGUCUUCAAUAUAUAAUUAAAAAUAAAAUUAUCAAAAUUAAAAUUGUAUUUAAUAAUAAAUAUUAAAUAUAAAGAUAUUAAAAUUAUAUUUUUAGGUUACAUUUUCAUAUAUACUAAAAUAUAAUUUAAAAAAAAUUUUUUUUUUCAAAUUUAAAAAAAUUUUGUUCAUUUUAUUUCCUAAUUUUCUUUUAUAUUAUAUUCUAGAAAUAUAUGAGAUUUUUUGUUUCAUUCUUGAAAAUUAUAAAAAUAUAAAUUAAUUUAAAACAUUAGUUAUAUUUUUUUUAUAGUACUAAUCAUAUUUAAAUUAUCAUGUUUCAAUCAUUAUUAUUUUCAAAAUUAUAUUAUUUUUAAUAAUAUUUUUUUAAAGUAUUUUACAGGACAAAUUGCAUAAGAUGAACAAGGUUAUGAAAGAAGUGUAUGAGCUAUCAAAUACGAAAGAUAUUGAUAUAAGAUAUGAGAUACAAUUACAUAUUGCACAUAAAUUUAUAAUUAUAAUGGAUUAUUAUAAUAGAAAACAUUUUGUUCAACAUUUUCUUCAAGUUAUAAGGUGAAAUCACAACAAUGUAUAGAAUUUUAUAAUAUUAUUGAAUUAAGAAACUUCAAAGAGUGGAAUGAUUCCAGAUAUUUUUAAUGUCUUGAAUGUAUUUACAAAUAAUUGUAACAUGUAUAUCAAACUAAUUUAUUUUCUUAUUGAAAGUGAU
This is a long non-coding RNA of Apis cerana (Asiatic honeybee), 2666 nucleotides long. RefSeq lists it as uncharacterized. Lineage: Eukaryota; Metazoa; Arthropoda; Insecta; Hymenoptera; Apidae. The record is from RefSeq and is a predicted model, not a curated record.